RNAcentral lists this ribosomal RNA (366 nucleotides) under [Eubacterium] sulci. RNAcentral describes it as "bacterial SSU rRNA". It matches the Rfam family "Bacterial small subunit ribosomal RNA", at positions 6 to 331 of the family's 1533-position model. The record is from RNAcentral. Lineage: Bacteria; Bacillati; Bacillota; Clostridia; Peptostreptococcales; Anaerovoracaceae.
GGAGAGUUUGAUCCUGGCUCAGGAUGAAUGCUGGCGGCGUGCCUAACACAUGCAAGUCGAGCGGCAGCGAGUUUUACACUGAAUUCUGGAAGCUUCUGGGUAAUAUAGAAGAUUUAUUCAAGAAUUUUGUGUAAAAUGUCGGCGAGCGGCGGACGGCUGAGUAACGCGUAGGAAUUUGCCCCAAAGUGAGGAAUAACUGCCCGAAAGGGUAGCUAAUGCCGCAUAUGGUCUUCGGAUUAAAGCCUUCGGGCGCUUUGGGAGAAGCCUGCGUUGGAUUAGGUAGUUGGUAGGGUAAUGGCCUACCAAGCCGACGAUCCAUAGCUGGUCUGAGAGGAUGAUCAGCCAGACUGGAACUGAGACACGGUC